Molecule: ribosomal RNA, 488 nt
Filed under: uncultured bacterium
Lineage: Bacteria
Description: bacterial SSU rRNA
Rfam family: Bacterial small subunit ribosomal RNA
Source: RNAcentral
UGGCUCGAGGACGAACGCUGGCGGCACGCUUAACACAUGCAAGUCGAACGGAGUAAUUGAGAGCUUGCUUUGAUUACUUAGUGGCGGACGGGUGAGUAACACGUGAGCAACCUGCCUUUGAGAGUGGAAUAGCUUCUGGAAACGGAUGGUAAUACCGCAUAACAUUACGGGGCCGCAUGACCCUGUAAUCAAAGAUUUAUCGCUCAAAGAUGGGCUCGCGUCUGAUUAGGUAGUUGGUGAGGUAACGGCUCACCAAGCCGACGAUCAGUAGCCGGACUGAGAGGUUGAACGGCCACAUUGGGACUGAGACACGGCCCAGACUCCUACGGGAGGCAGCAGGUGGGGAAUAUUGCACAAUGGGCGGAAGCCUGAUGCAAGCGAUGCCGCGUGGAGGAAGUAAGGUUUUCGGAUUGUAAACUCCUGAUCUGAGGGACGAUAAUGACGGUACCUCAGGAGAAAGCUCCGGCUAACUACGUGCCAGCAGCGGC